GACGUAGGGCGCGAGCGUUGUCCGGAUUAUUGGGCGUAAAGAGCUCGUAGGCGGCUUGUCGCGUCGACCGUGAAAACUUGGGGCUCAACCCCAAGCCUGCGGUCGAUACGGGCAGGCUCGAGUUCGGUAGGGGAGACUGGAAUUCCUGGUGUAGCGGUGAAAUGCGCAGAUAUCAGGAGGAACACCGGUGGCGAAGGCGGGUCUCUGGGCCGAUACUGACGCUGAGGAGCGAAAGCGUGGGGAGCGAACAGG
Molecule: ribosomal RNA, 252 nt
Filed under: uncultured bacterium
Lineage: Bacteria
Description: partial 16S ribosomal RNA
Rfam family: Bacterial small subunit ribosomal RNA
Source: RNAcentral